GAGACUCAACCUACGAACUGCUAAAUCGUAAAACCGAGACUGAACCCUCGGACCUCUC
RNAcentral lists this transfer RNA (58 nucleotides) under Agama armata. Its description in RNAcentral is "tRNA-Ser". The record is from RNAcentral. Lineage: Eukaryota; Metazoa; Chordata; Lepidosauria; Squamata; Agamidae.